GCCCGGAUGGCGAAACUGGUAGACGCAAGGGACUUAAAAUCCCUCGGGCCUCACGGCCCAUGCCGGUUCGAUUCCGGCUCCGGGCACCA
RNAcentral lists this transfer RNA (89 nucleotides) under Burkholderiales bacterium. Its description in RNAcentral is "tRNA-Leu". It matches the Rfam family "tRNA". Rfam says of the family: Transfer RNA (tRNA) molecules are approximately 80 nucleotides in length. Their secondary structure includes four short double-helical elements and three loops (D, anti-codon, and T loops). The record is from RNAcentral. Lineage: Bacteria; Pseudomonadati; Pseudomonadota; Betaproteobacteria; Burkholderiales.